ACGAACGCUGGCGGCGUGCUUAACACAUGCAAGUCGAGCGGAAAGGCCCUUCGGGGUACUCGAGCGGCGAACGGGUGAGUAACACGUGAGUAACCUGCCCCAGACUUUGGGAUAACCCUCGGAAACGGGGGCUAAUACCGGAUACGACACAGCUUCGCAUGGGGUCUGUGUGGAAAGUUUUUCGGUUUGGGAUGGGCUCGCGGCCUAUCAGCUUGUUGGUGGGGUGAUGGCCUACCAAGGCGACGACGGGUAGCCGGCCUGAGAGGGCGACCGGCCACACUGGGACUGAGACACGGCCCAGACUCCUACGGGAGGCAGCAGUGGGGAAUAUUGCACAAUGGGCGGAAGCGUGAUGCAGCGACGCCGCGUGAGGGAUGACGGCCUUCGGGUUGUAAACCUCUUUCAGCAGGGACGAAGCGUAAGUGACGGUACCUGCAGAAGAAGCGCCGGCCAACUACGUG
Molecule: ribosomal RNA, 461 nt
Filed under: uncultured bacterium
Lineage: Bacteria
Description: partial 16S ribosomal RNA
Rfam family: Bacterial small subunit ribosomal RNA
Source: RNAcentral